AGUUUCCAGGCCAGAAUUGUCCUCCUCCUCCUCUUUCUCGCCUUCUGUUUUGUUGUGUGUAUGUUUUUGAACUGCCUGUGGCGGUUCCUGGAGCCUACAAUUUUCAAAAAACUGUCUCGGACUUGGAUUCAUCGUGAGCAAGUCCACGGAAGCCACCUUGCUGUUGCAGAAUUGUUACUCCCAAUGCCAUUUGAAUUUCAAUUUAGGGUUUUGAGAGUCGAGCCCAAUUAGCAACUCAGUG
This 241-nucleotide long non-coding RNA is filed under the name Physcomitrium patens. RNAcentral describes it as "long non-coding RNA (PPAT_LNC009639)". The record is from RNAcentral. Lineage: Eukaryota; Viridiplantae; Streptophyta; Bryopsida; Funariales; Funariaceae.